Molecule: ribosomal RNA, 498 nt
Filed under: uncultured bacterium
Lineage: Bacteria
Description: partial 16S ribosomal RNA
Rfam family: Bacterial small subunit ribosomal RNA
Source: RNAcentral
GGAUGAACGCUGGCGGCGUGCCUAAUACAUGCAAGUCGAGCGAACAGACGAGGAGCUUGCUCCUCUGACGUUAGCGGCGGACGGGUGAGUAACACGUGGAUAACCUACCUAUAAGACUGGGAUAACUUCGGGAAACCGGAGCUAAUACCGGAUAAUAUAUUGAACCGCAUGGUUCAAUAGUGAAAGACGGUUUUGCUGUCACUUAUAGAUGGAUCCGCGCCGCAUUAGCUAGUUGGUAAGGUAACGGCUUACCAAGGCAACGACGCGUAGCCGACCUGAGAGGGUGAUCGGCCACACUGGAACUGAGACACGGUCCAGACUCCUACGGGAGGCAGCAGUAGGGAAUCUUCCGCAAUGGGCGAAAGCCUGACGGAGCAACGCCGCGUGAGUGAUGAAGGUCUUCGGAUCGUAAAACUCUGUUAUUAGGGAAGAACAAAUGUGUAAGUAACUAUGCACGUCUUGACGGUACCUAAUCAGAAAGCCACGGCUAACUACGUG